GACGAACGCUGGCGGCGUGCUUAACACAUGCAAGUCGAACGCUGAAGCCCUUUCGGGGGUGGAUGAGUGGCGAACGGGUGAGUAACACGUGGGUAAUCUGCCCUGUACUUCGGGAUAAGCCUUGGAAACGGGGUCUAAUACCGGAUAGGACCUGUCCUCGCAUGGGGGUGGGUGGAAAGUUCCGGCGGUAUGGGAGGAGCCCGCGGGCUAUCAGCUUGUUGGUGGGGUAGUGGGCUACCAAGGCGACGACGGGUAGCCGGCCUGAGAGGGUGACCGGUCACACUGGGACUGAGACACGGCCCAGACUCCUACGGGAGGCAGCAGUGGGGAAUCUUGCGCAAUGGGCGAAAGCCUGACGCAGCAACGCCGCGUGGGGGAUGACGGCCUUCGGGUUGUAAACCUCUUUCGACAUCGACGAAGGGGCCCUGUUGUGGGGUUUUGACGGUAGGUGUAGAAGAAGCACCGGCUAACUACGUGCCAGCAGCCGCCGUAA
This 493-nucleotide ribosomal RNA is filed under the name uncultured bacterium. RNAcentral describes it as "partial 16S ribosomal RNA". It matches the Rfam family "Bacterial small subunit ribosomal RNA", at positions 28 to 523 of the family's 1533-position model. The record is from RNAcentral.